This 587-nucleotide unclassified non-coding RNA is filed under the name leaf metagenome. Its description in RNAcentral is "partial contains small subunit ribosomal RNA, internal transcribed spacer 1, 5.8S ribosomal RNA, internal transcribed spacer 2, and large subunit ribosomal RNA". The stretch from base 226 to 379 matches the Rfam family "5.8S ribosomal RNA". The record is from RNAcentral.
UCGUAACAAGGUCUCCGUUGGUGAACCAGCGGAGGGAUCAUUACUGAGUUACCGCUCUAUAACCCUUUGUGAACGUACCUAACCGUUGCUUCGGCGGGCAGGGGAAGCCUCUCGCGGGCCUCCCCUCCCGGCGCCGGCCCCCACCACGGGGACGGGGCGCCCGCCGGAGGAAACCAAACUCUAUUUACACGACGUCUCUUCUGAGUGGCACAAGCAAAUAAUUAAAACUUUUAACAACGGAUCUCUUGGUUCUGGCAUCGAUGAAGAACGCAGCGAAAUGCGAUAAGUAAUGUGAAUUGCAGAAUUCAGUGAAUCAUCGAAUCUUUGAACGCACAUUGCGCUCGCCAGCAUUCUGGCGAGCAUGCCUGUUCGAGCGUCAUUUCAACCCUCAAGCACCGCUUGGUUUUGGGGCCCCACGGCCGACGUGGGCCCUUAAAGGUAGUGGCGGACCCUCCCGGAGCCUCCUUUGCGUAGUAACUAACGUCUCGCACUGGGAUCCGGAGGGACUCUUGCCGUUAAACCCCCAAAUUCUUUACAGGUUGACCUCGGAUCAGGUAGGAAUACCCGCUGAACUUAAGCAUAUCAAU